RNAcentral lists this ribosomal RNA (407 nucleotides) under uncultured bacterium. Its description in RNAcentral is "partial 16S ribosomal RNA". It matches the Rfam family "Bacterial small subunit ribosomal RNA", at positions 30 to 526 of the family's 1533-position model. The record is from RNAcentral.
AUUGAACGCUAGCGGGAUGCCUUACACAUGCAAGUCGAACGGAGUGGCGAACGGGCGAGUAAUGUAUCGGAACGUGCCCAGGAGCGGGGGAUAACUACGCGAAAGCGUAGCUAAUACCGCAUACUUUCGGAGCGGCCGAUAUGGGAUUAGCUAGUUGGUGGGGUAACGGCUAACCCAGGCGACGAUCCGUAGCUGGUUUGAGAGGAUGACCAGCCACACUGGAACUGAGCCACGGCCCAGACUCCUACGGGAGGCAGCAGUGGGGAAUUUUGGACAAUGGGGGAAACCCUGAUGCAGCCAUGCCGCGUGUGCGAUGAAGGCCUUCGGGUUGUAAAGCACUUUUAGCGGGGAGGCGGUACCUGCAGAAGAAGCACCGGCUAACUACGUGCCAGCAGCCGCGGUAAUAC